GACGAACGCUGGCGGCGUGCUUAACACAUGCAAGUCGAACGGAAAGGCCCUGCUUUUGUGGGGUGCUCGAGUGGCGAACGGGUGAGUAACACGUGAGUAACCUGCCCUUGACUUUGGGAUAACUUCAGGAAACUGGGGCUAAUACCGGAUAGGAGCUCCUGCUGCAUGGUGGGGGUUGGAAAGUUUCGGCGGUUGGGGAUGGACUCGCGGCUUAUCAGCUUGUUGGUGGGGUAGUGGCUUACCAAGGCUUUGACGGGUAGCCGGCCUGAGAGGGUGACCGGACACAUUGGGACUGAGAUCCCGCCCAGACUCCUACAGGAGGCAGCAGUGGGGAAGAUUGCACAAUGGGCGGAAGCCUGAUGCAGCAACGCCGCGUGCGGGAUGACGGCCUUCGGGUUAUAAACCGCUUUCGCCUGUGACGAAGCGUGAGUGACGGUAAUGGGUAAAGAAGCACCGGCUAACUACGUG
This 468-nucleotide ribosomal RNA is filed under the name uncultured bacterium. RNAcentral's name for it is "partial 16S ribosomal RNA". It matches the Rfam family "Bacterial small subunit ribosomal RNA", at positions 28 to 507 of the family's 1533-position model. The record is from RNAcentral.